ACACGACUACAUUAGAUACCCGGGUAGUCCUAGCCGUAAACGAUACUCGCUAGGUGUCGGCCACGGUGCGACCGUUGUCGGUGCCGUAGGGAAGCCGUGAAGCGAGCCACCUGGGAAGUACGGCCGCAAGGCUGAAACUUAAAGGAAUUGGCGGGGGAGCUCAACAACGGGUGGAGCUUGCGGUUUAAUUGGAUUCAACGCCGGAAAUCUUACCGGGACCGACAGCAACAUGAAGGCCAAGCUGAAGACUUUGCCGGAUUAGCUG
This 265-nucleotide ribosomal RNA is filed under the name uncultured archaeon. RNAcentral's name for it is "partial 16S ribosomal RNA". It matches the Rfam family "Archaeal small subunit ribosomal RNA", at positions 717 to 982 of the family's 1478-position model. The record is from RNAcentral.